GUGGAUGGUGUUCUGAGGU
RNAcentral lists this unclassified non-coding RNA (19 nucleotides) under Mus musculus (house mouse). RNAcentral describes it as "oocyte_clustered_small_RNA12294". The record is from RNAcentral. Lineage: Eukaryota; Metazoa; Chordata; Mammalia; Rodentia; Muridae.